UUCAGUCAACAGCAAAAGUUAACACUUUCUAAUCUUAGUUACUGAUCAGGGUUAGUUAUAUAGCUGAACUGGUGUGCUAUCUACUUCGCUUAAUUCCUGAACUGCAAUACAGAAGGAACCAGGUUUCCAAAGUUAGGAGACAAAACAACAACAUACUCAGGUGCAAGGUAUGCAAGUCAUUAUUACUAAUUCUAAAAUGAACUUAUGUAACCUUUACUUGACCAUCUUUAAUGUAUUGUGGGUCACCACAGGUUAAUUGAGUAUUGCUUAAAAGCCUUCCAUAAACAUUGGGUUCAGCAAAGAGGUUAAGCAGUUUGUCUGGGGUCAAGAACUUUUCUGUGAGCUAUGCUCAGUUGUUGAGUUGAGAAUGAAGUUACUGAAGGAAAACGUCAAAAACCAGUUAUUCUGCAAAGAUUUAGCCCAUUCUUUUUCUGCUUUAGUACACCAUAAUGCAUGCUGACUUGGUCUUGUAUGAUUUUGUUAUAAAAGUAAAAUAGUGCAAAGUUGAUUUACAAAUGUAUUAUGGCACAUUGCACCUUAUGUUAUUUCUGUACUUUUAUAGGUUUUUAUACUCUGAGCUACUGCUUCAAAACUUCAGAUGGAUACCAGUACAACAUAACAAUGAAGGAGUGCUGAGGUGCCACCUUUCAGGUGAAGAUGGUGGGGGAUGGUGCUCAAAUCUGCAGAAGUUGAUUGGAAACCCCAGUCAGAGAGAUGUACCAUAGAAAGCAUUCUAUCAGGAUGCAUCACGGUUUGGAAUGGCAACUACUCUUCCCAAGGCCACAAGAAACUGCAGAGUUUUGGAUACAACUCAACAUAUCAUGAAAACUGGCCUCCCCUCUAUGGAGUUCUUCACCAAUUCUCAUUGACUCAGUAAAGCAGCCGACAUAAUCAAAGAUCCCAUCCACACUGUACAUUUUCUCUUCUUACCCUUCCACAUAUACUACCAUACUCAAGAAUGGAAUUCUAUCUACUCUUAUAAGAUUAUAAAACAGAACAAUUAUAAAAUAAGUAGACUCUUGACCUCAUAAUCGAUCUCAUCAUAAACUUGUAUCUUAUCAUCUGUCUGCACCACACUGAAGUAGUAAUAGCGAUAAGGAAAUGGUGGAUGAACUGAAUAAGUAUUUUGCAUUAGUCCAGGGUGGAAAGCAUUAGCAACAUCCCAGAAAUUGAAGAGAGUUGUGGGGGGGGGGGGGGCAUAAGCGAGUGUAAUCACUAUUACUAAGGAGAAGGUGCUUCGGAAGCUGAAAGGCCAACUGGACCGGAUGGACUACACUCCAUUGUUCUGAAAGGUAGCUGAAGAAAUUGCGGGGGCACCGCAGUAGUGACCUUUCAUGAAUUACUAGAGUCUGGAAUGGUUCCAGAGAAAUGGAAAAUCACAAAUAUCACUGAACUUUUUAAAAAGGGAGGUAAAAGACAGGAAAAAAUAGACCAGUUAGACUGACUUCAGCGCCUGGAAAGAUGAUAAAAUCUUUUAUCAAGGAUGAGGUUUAGGGAACUUGGGAGCACAUGAUAAAAUAGGCUGAAGUCCAAAUUUCCUUAAGGGGAGAUCUUGACUAAUAAAUCUAUUGGCAUUCUUUGAGGAAAUAACAGGCAGGAUAAACAGAGGCGAGUCAGUGGAUGUUGAUUACUUGGGUUUUCAGAAGGCCUAUAAUUUACUAAGGGAAGCAAAUUUAUGUAGAUGUAUGUUCCGUUAAAACACAGGAGAAAGAAUCCAUUAUUAAGAACCCAUGUCAACCAGGACAUACACUCUUCUCAUUGCUAUCAUUAAGGAGGAGGUACAGGAACUUGAAGACACACACUCAACGUUUCAGGAAUUGCUUUUCGCUGUCCACCAUCAGAUUUAUGAUUGGACAAUGAACCCAUCCACACUACCUCAACUAUUUGAUUUCUCUUCUUCUGCACUUCUUUGGCAUGAUGCAUUUAAUUUAUACAUACAUAUUUCUUCCUGUAAUAUAUAGUUUUUAUUAUUAUGUAUUGCAAUGUACAACAAAUGCCAGUGAUAUUAAAGGCAUUGAAUCUGUGAAAUUCACUGCCACAGACGGCGGUGGACACCAAGUCAUUGGGUAUAUUCAAAGUGGAGGUCGAUGGGUUCUUAAUUAGUGAGGGCAUCAGAGGUUACCAGAAGAAUGUGGCUGAGAGGAAAUAAUAAAUCAGUCAUGACUGAAUGGCAGUGCAAACUUGA
This is a long non-coding RNA of Hypanus sabinus (Atlantic stingray), 2185 nucleotides long. RefSeq lists it as uncharacterized. The record is from RefSeq and is a predicted model, not a curated record. The transcript is spliced from 3 exons. Lineage: Eukaryota; Metazoa; Chordata; Chondrichthyes; Myliobatiformes; Dasyatidae.